CGAACGGGAUGCUUAGGCAUCUAGUGGCGGACGGGUGAGUAACGCGUGAGAAUCUGGCUCCAGGUCGGGGAUAACAGUUGGAAACGACUGCUAAUACCGGAUGUGCCGAGAGGUGAAAGAUUUAUUGCCUGGAGAUGAGCUCGCGUCUGAUUAGCUAGUUGGUGGUGUAAGGGACCACCAAGGCGUCGAUCAGUAGCUGGUCUGAGAGGAUGAUCAGCCACACUGGGACUGAGACACGGCCCAGACUCCUACGGGAGGCAGCAGUGGGGAAUUUUCCGCAAUGGGCGAAAGCCUGACGGAGCAAUACCGCGUGAGGGAGGAAGGCUCUUGGGUCGUAAACCUCUUUUCUCAAGGAAGAAGAAAGUGACGGUACUUGAGGAAUAAGCAUCGGCUAACUCCGUGCCAGCAGCCGCGGUAAUACGGAGGAUGCAAGCGUUAUCCGGAAUGAUUGGGCGUAAAGGGUCUGCAGGUGGAACUGAAAGUCUGCUGUUAAAGAGUUUGGCUUAACCAAAUAAAAGCGGUGGAAACUACAGAACUAGAGUGUGGUAGGGGCAAAAGGAAUUCCUGGUGUAGCGGUGAAAUGCGUAGAUAUCAGGAAGAACACCGGUGGCGAAAGCGUUUUGCUAGACCAUAACUGACACUGAGGGACGAAAGCUAGGGGAGCGAAUGGGAUUAGAUACCCCAGUAGUCCUAGCCGUAAACGAUGGAUACUAGGCGUGGCUUGUAUCGACCCGAGCCGUGCCGGAGCUAACGCGUUAAGUAUCCCGCCUGGGGAGUACGCACGCAAGUGUGAAACUCAAAGGAAUUGACGGGGGCCCGCACAAGCGGUGGAGUAUGUGGUUUAAUUCGAUGCAACGCGAAGAACCUUACCAAGACUUGACAUCCUGCGAAUCCUGGUGAAAGCUGGGAGUGCCUUAGGGAGCGCAGAGACAGGUGGUGCAUGGCUGUCGUCAGCUCGUGUCGUGAGAUGUUGGGUUAAGUCCCGCAACGAGCGCAACCCUCGUUUUUAGUUGCCAGCAUUAAGUUGGGCACUCUAGAGAGACUGCCGGUGACAAACCGGAGGAAGGUGAGGAUGACGUCAAGUCAGCAUGCCCCUUACGUCUUGGGCUACACACGUACUACAAUGCUACGGACAGAGGGCAGCGAGCCAGGGAUGGCAAGCGAAUCCAGAAACCGUAGCUCAGUUCAGAUCGAAGGCUGCAACUCGCCUUCGUGAAGGAGGAAUCGCUAGUAAUUGCAGGUCAGCAUACUGCAGUGAAUUCGUUCCCGGGCCUUGUACACACCGCCCGUCACACCAUGGAAGUUGGUCACGCCCGAAGUCAUUACCCCAACCGAAAGGAGGGGGAUGCCUAAGGUAGGACUGGUGACUGGGGUGAAGUCGUAACAAGGUAGCCGUACCGGAAGGUGUGGCUGGAUCACCUCCUUU
This 1426-nucleotide ribosomal RNA is filed under the name uncultured Cylindrospermopsis sp. Its description in RNAcentral is "bacterial SSU rRNA". It matches the Rfam family "Bacterial small subunit ribosomal RNA". The record is from RNAcentral. Lineage: Bacteria; Bacillati; Cyanobacteriota; Cyanophyceae; Nostocales; Aphanizomenonaceae.